RNAcentral lists this ribosomal RNA (486 nucleotides) under uncultured soil bacterium. Its description in RNAcentral is "bacterial SSU rRNA". It matches the Rfam family "Bacterial small subunit ribosomal RNA", at positions 26 to 507 of the family's 1533-position model. The record is from RNAcentral.
AGAUUGAACGCUGGCGGCAGGCCUAACACAUGCAAGUCGAGCGGCAGCACGGGUACUUGUACCUGGUGGCGAGCGGCGGACGGGUGAGUAAUGCCUAGGAAUCUGCCUGGUAGUGGGGGAUAACGCUCGGAAACGGACGCUAAUACCGCAUACGUCCUACGGGAGAAAGCAGGGGACCUUCGGGCCUUGCGCUAUCAGAUGAGCCUAGGUCGGAUUAGCUAGUUGGUGAGGUAAUGGCUCACCAAGGCGACGAUCCGUAACUGGUCUGAGAGGAUGAUCAGUCACACUGGAACUGAGACACGGUCCAGACUCCUACGGGAGGCAGCAGUGGGGAAUAUUGGACAAUGGGCGAAAGCCUGAUCCAGCCAUGCCGCGUGUGUGAAGAAGGUCUUCGGAUUGUAAAGCACUUUAAGUUGGAGGAAGGCAGUUACCUAAUACGUAUCUGUUUUGACGUUACCGACAGAAUAAGCACCGGCUAACUCUGUG